RNAcentral lists this transfer RNA (75 nucleotides) under Thermoplasmatota archaeon. RNAcentral describes it as "tRNA-Glu". It matches the Rfam family "tRNA". From Rfam's summary of the family: Transfer RNA (tRNA) molecules are approximately 80 nucleotides in length. Their secondary structure includes four short double-helical elements and three loops (D, anti-codon, and T loops). Further hydrogen bonds mediate the characteristic L-shaped molecular structure. tRNAs have two regions of fundamental functional importance: the anti-codon, which is responsible for specific mRNA codon recognition, and the 3' end, to which the tRNAs corresponding amino acid is attached (by aminoacyl-tRNA synthetases). tRNAs cope with the degeneracy of the genetic code in two manners: having more than one tRNA (with a specific anti-codon) for a particular amino acid; and 'wobble' base-pairing, i.e. permitting non-standard base-pairing at the 3rd anti-codon position. Lineage: Archaea; Methanobacteriati; Thermoplasmatota. The record is from RNAcentral. RNAcentral also lists the same sequence under 1 other name.
GCUCCUGUGGUGUAGUCCGGCCAAUCAUCUCGGCCUUUCGAGCCGAUUACGGGGGUUCGAAUCCCCCCGGGAGCA